RNAcentral lists this ribosomal RNA (253 nucleotides) under uncultured bacterium. RNAcentral describes it as "partial 16S ribosomal RNA". It matches the Rfam family "Bacterial small subunit ribosomal RNA", at positions 524 to 776 of the family's 1533-position model. The record is from RNAcentral.
UACGUAGGGUGCAAGCGUUAAUCGGAAUUACUGGGCGUAAAGCGUGCGCAGGCGGUUGUGCGAGACAGAUGUGAAAUCCCCGGGCUCAACCUGGGAACUGCAUUUGUGACUGCACGGCUGGAGUGCGGCAGAGGGGGAUGGAAUUCCGCGUGUAGCAGUGAAAUGCGUAGAUAUGCGGAGGAACACCGAUGGCGAAGGCAAUCCCCUGGGCCUGCACUGACGCUCAUGCACGAAAGCGUGGGGAGCAAACAGG